UGAGGAAUAUUGCGCAAUGGGGGCAACCCUGACGCAGCGACGCCGCGUGAGUGAGGAAGGCCUUCGGGUCGUAAAGCUCUGUCAAAGGGAAAGAAAUGCAUAAUGGCUAAUACCUGUUAUGUUUGACGGUACCCUUAAAGGAAGCACCGGCUAACUCCGUGCCAGCAGCCGCGGUAAUACGGAGGGUGCAAGCGUUGUUCGGAAUUACUGGGCGUAAAGGGCGCGUAGGCGGUUUGAUAAGUCAGAUGUGAAAGCCCACGGCUUAACUGUGGAAGUGCAUUUGAAACUGUCAGACUUGAGUACCAGAGGGGAAAGUGGAAUUCCCGGUGUAGAGGUGAAAUUCGUAGAUAUCGGGAGGAAUACCGGUGGCGAAGGCGACUUUCUGGCUGGAUACUGACGCUGAGGCGCGAAAGCGUGGGGAGCAAACA
Molecule: ribosomal RNA, 428 nt
Filed under: uncultured prokaryote
Description: bacterial SSU rRNA
Rfam family: Bacterial small subunit ribosomal RNA
Source: RNAcentral